This 30-nucleotide small RNA is filed under the name Bombyx mori (domestic silkworm). Its description in RNAcentral is "ovarian small RNA-17230". Lineage: Eukaryota; Metazoa; Arthropoda; Insecta; Lepidoptera; Bombycidae. The record is from RNAcentral.
GGACAAACCAAUCGAUCCCUGGUCGGGGAA